UCUCCGUAGGUGAACCCGCGGAGGGAUCAUUGAAUCUAGACCCAAGACAACUCGUGUGACCCUGUUGAACCCCCCGGUCGGGGCCCCGCGAGGGGACCCGGCCGGCGCCUGUUCCGCGGGCCGGCACCCCCUUCCCAGGAAGGACCGGGCCGGCCGUCUGCCAAGGUCUGGCGGGCCGACGGGGGCGGCGCUCAGCGUCCCAUCUCGAUGGGAGGCGAGGCCGUCUCCGAUCACCUCGGUCGGACAAAACCCACUCACCUUCGCCAACCGUCCAGCCUGAAGCCAGUGGCCGGUGAGCUCACCGGCGACACAACCAAUGACAACUCUCAACAACGGAUAUCUUGGCUCCC
Molecule: unclassified non-coding RNA, 350 nt
Filed under: plant metagenome
Description: partial contains small subunit ribosomal RNA, internal transcribed spacer 1, and 5.8S ribosomal RNA
Source: RNAcentral